RNAcentral lists this ribosomal RNA (437 nucleotides) under uncultured Oscillospiraceae bacterium. RNAcentral's name for it is "partial 16S ribosomal RNA". It matches the Rfam family "Bacterial small subunit ribosomal RNA", at positions 341 to 792 of the family's 1533-position model. Lineage: Bacteria; Bacillati; Bacillota; Clostridia; Eubacteriales; Oscillospiraceae. The record is from RNAcentral.
ACGGGAGGCAGCAGUGGGGAAUAUUGGGCAAUGGGCGAAAGCCUGACCCAGCAACGCCGCGUGAAGGAAGAAGGUCUUCGGAUUGUAAACUUCUUUUAUGAGGGACGAAGGACGUGACGGUACCUCAUGAAUAAGCCACGGCUAACUACGUGCCAGCAGCCGCGGUAAUACGUAGGUGGCAAGCGUUAUCCGGAUUUAUUGGGUGUAAAGGGCGCGUAGGCGGGGAUGCAAGUCAGAUGUGAAAUCCAUGGGCUUAACCCAUGGACUGCAUUUGAAACUGUAUUUCUUGAGUGUCGGAGAGGUAGACGGAAUUCCUAGUGUAGCGGUGAAAUGCGUAGAUAUUAGGAGGAACACCAGUGGCGAAGGCGGUCUACUGGACGAUAACUGACGCUGAGGCGCGAAAGCGUGGGGAGCAAACAGGAUUAGAUACCCUGGUA